RNAcentral lists this ribosomal RNA (837 nucleotides) under uncultured bacterium. RNAcentral describes it as "bacterial SSU rRNA". It matches the Rfam family "Bacterial small subunit ribosomal RNA", at positions 68 to 885 of the family's 1533-position model. The record is from RNAcentral.
AGCAGGAAGUGCUUGCACUUCGCUGACGAGCGGCGGACGGGUGCGUAACACGUAGGAAUCUGCCUGGUAGUGGGGGAUAGCCCGGAGAAAUCCGGAUUAAUACCGCAUACGCACUAGCUCUUUACGAGCGGUGGAAAGGAGGGGACUCUUCGGAGCCUUUCGCUAUCAGAUGAGCCUGCGUCGGAUUAGCUGGUUGGUGGGGUAAAGGCCUACCAAGGCGACGAUCCGUAGCUGGUCUGAGAGGAUGAUCAGCCACACUGGGACUGAGACACGGCCCAGACUCCUACGGGAGGCAGCAGUGGGGAAUAUUGCACAAUGGGCGAAAGCCUGAUGCAGCCAUGCCGCGUGUGUGAAGAAGGCCCUAGGGUUGUAAAGCACUUUCAGUGGGGAGGAAAGGUUGAAGGUUAAUACCCUUCAGCUGUGACGUUACCCACAGAAGAAGCACCGGCUAACUCCGUGCCAGCAGCCGCGGUAAUACGGAGGGUGCGAGCGUUAAUCGGAAUUACUGGGCGUAAAGCGUGCGUAGGCGGCCACCUAAGUUGGAUGUGAAAGCCCCGGGCUCAACCUGGGAACUGCAUCCAAAACUGGGUGGCUAGAGUACGGGAGAGGAGUGUGGAAUUUCCUGUGUAGCGGUGAAAUGCGUAGAUAUAGGAAGGAACACCAGUGGCGAAGGUGACACUCUGGCCUGAUACUGACGCUGAGGUACGAAAGCGUGGGGAGCAAACAGGAUUAGAUAUCCUGGUAGUCCACGCCGUAAACGAUGUCUACUAGUUGUCGGUUGUCUUGUACGACUGGUAACGCAGCUAACGCGAUAAGUAGACCGCCUGGGGGGUACGG